UAGAACUGGGUGUACUUGUCGAAGUAGUC
RNAcentral lists this small RNA (29 nucleotides) under Bombyx mori (domestic silkworm). RNAcentral's name for it is "piRNA piR-bmo-1558571". The record is from RNAcentral. Lineage: Eukaryota; Metazoa; Arthropoda; Insecta; Lepidoptera; Bombycidae.